RNAcentral lists this non-coding RNA (108 nucleotides) under bovine gut metagenome. RNAcentral's name for it is "FMN riboswitch (RFN element)". It matches the Rfam family "FMN riboswitch aptamer (RFN element)". Rfam says of the family: The RFN element is a highly conserved domain that is found frequently in the 5'-untranslated regions of prokaryotic mRNAs that encode for flavin mononucleotide (FMN) biosynthesis and transport proteins. This element is a metabolite-dependent riboswitch that directly binds FMN in the absence of proteins. The record is from RNAcentral.
UGUCUUCAGGGCAGGGUGUAAUUCCCGACCGGCGGUAUAGUCCGCGAGCCGUAUGGCAUGAACCGGUGUGAUUCCGGUACCGACAGUAGAGUCUGGAUGGAAGAAGAC